This 329-nucleotide unclassified non-coding RNA is filed under the name soil metagenome. RNAcentral's name for it is "partial contains 5.8S ribosomal RNA, internal transcribed spacer 2, and large subunit ribosomal RNA". The stretch from base 1 to 120 matches the Rfam family "5.8S ribosomal RNA", at positions 35 to 154 of the family's 154-position model. The record is from RNAcentral.
GAUGAAGAACGCAGUGAAAUGCGAUACGUAAUGUGAAUUGCAGAUUUUAGUGAAUCAUCGAAUCUUUGAACGCACAUUGCGCCCGCCAGUAUUCUGGCGGGCAUGCCUGUUCGAGCGUCAUUUCAACCAUCAAGCCUUCGCUUGUGUUGGGGCCCCGCGGCUGCCGCGGCCCCCUAAAUCCAGUGGCGGGCUCGUCGUCGUACCGAGCGCAGUAGACAUCCUCGCUCCGGGAACCCGACGGGUGCCGGCCGUGAAACCCCCCCCAUCAAGGUUGACCUCGGAUCAGGUAGGAAUACCCGCUGAACUUAAGCAUAUCAAUAAGCGGAGGA